GGAGCAGCAACCGGUCUGUUGGAAAGUUCCUGCAUAAGUUGUCGGAUCCUCAAAAAAAAGCUUUUCUGGGGACGCGCUGUUCAAGUCGAGUUUCCUUAUUGUCCCUUCCAAGACAUCCCUUCUAACUUCCCUAUUUCCAAAGGAAGAAAGAAAGGUCGAAAGCUCUCUUUCGAGAGCCUCUUUUGUUGGGCUCGGCGGCCCCAAUCGCAAGGCUAGAUCCAGAUCCCCCAUAGCCUGUUCAGCAUGAGGAAUGGCUGGCGGAGCAUCAGGAUUUCCUUGAUCCAUUCUCAAGAUCUCAGCCCCCCUACCAACUCGCUCCCGGUGACAUUAGGCACUACCUCAUUUGGGCUGGAAAUAAUAUAACUGUCCAUAAAACAAAUCAUUGCUGUGUUUUCGGUCUCGUUGAAUAAAAUGCAAACGAAAUGACUUACUAGCCACAGUAUAUCCCCGACACAACCUACAUUCACAAACGAUAGUUGUUUAGAAAUUUCUCCAAAAUUGAGACUAUCAU
RNAcentral lists this long non-coding RNA (511 nucleotides) under Capsicum annuum. RNAcentral describes it as "long non-coding RNA (CANN_LNC012189)". The record is from RNAcentral. Lineage: Eukaryota; Viridiplantae; Streptophyta; Magnoliopsida; Solanales; Solanaceae.